GUGUCAGCAGCCGCGGUAAGACGAACCGAGCGAACGUUGUUCGGAAUCACUGGUCUUAAAGGGCGCGUAGGCGGGUGUAAAAGUCUGCGGUGAAAUCCUGCAGCUUAACUGUAGAAGUGCCUCUGAUACUGUUCGUCUGGAGGGAGAUAGGGGUGUGCGGAACUUCCAGUGGAGCGGUGAAAUGCGUUGAUAUUGGAAGGAACGCCGGAGGCGAAAGCGGCGCACUGGAUCUCUACUGACGCUGAGGCGCGAAAGCCAGGGGAGCAAACGGGAUUAGAUACCCUGGUAGUCC
RNAcentral lists this ribosomal RNA (292 nucleotides) under uncultured bacterium. RNAcentral's name for it is "partial 16S ribosomal RNA". It matches the Rfam family "Bacterial small subunit ribosomal RNA", at positions 505 to 796 of the family's 1533-position model. The record is from RNAcentral.